ACAAGGAGAUUAUUAGGGAUAAAGAGAGGUGUUAUGAAAUGACCUGUGAUCGGUUCUCCGAGAAGCCAUAAGAAUCCCUUUGUAUACAUCUAAUAAUGGAACAUCAAAUUAUUGAGAUAAGGCUUAUAAUGUUUUGCUCUGGUAGGUGGAAGCUAGAGAAAAAAAAAAGAAAAAGAAAGGUGGGGUGGGCCUCAUGAUAGUCGAAGGGAGAUCAGUAGAAUAAAGGAAGGGAGGAUCAGGGGUGAGGGAUAGGGAGGAAGGGAGGUAAACAGAAACUACUGGGGAAUGAUUUGGCUAAAUUAUGUUAUAUCCUAUGCAUGUAUGAAUAGGUAACAAAUUCCACCAUUAUGUACAACUAUAAGGCAACAUUUUUAAAAUCUGGAAAAAAAAAAUCCUUGACAUAAAACAUUGGAAUGCAACGAGAAAUAAAUAAUUUAUCCCAAUAUGAUUUUUCACCAAUAUGAUCUUUCAUUAGAAAGAUUUCCACACCCAUUUGACAGAUUCAGCAGGAAUAACAUAAAUAAGGAUAUAGUUGAGCAGACCAGUUCUGUUAUGGGUCAAUUGUGUCCUUGGAAUGUAUGAUAAAAUAUAAUACUCAGCUCAGUACUUCAAAAUGGGACCUUAUCUGGAAAUAAAGUCAUUCUUGUGGUAAUAAAUUAAGGUGGGGGUCAUACUGGAUUUGGGUGAACCCCAACUCCAGUAUGAUCAAUAUGACUAUUUUUCUAAUGACAGAAAACAGUUCCACAAUGGGAGAAUGCAAAAUGCUGAAGGAGGCAGAAUGAAGUGUUAAAGUCCCAAAUCACGAAAGCCAGGGAUUGAUAGCAAAGUAAUGUAAAAUACAAGGCAAGAAAAAAUUCUCCCUACUGAUUUCAGAGGGAGCAUGGUUCUGCUUACACUUUGAUUUUGUUCUGUUAUUUCAAGUCAACCAAUCUGGUACUUUGUCAUGGGAGCCCUGGAACUCAUUAAAAGCAUAUCAAUCAAUCAAGUCUAAUUGUCAUUUGUGUAAUCCUUCAUUUAACAAUGAGACAAUACACUUUCUUCUCAAGAUCCCAUGAAACAUUCCUCAAAGCAGACCACGGUAUUGGCUAUAAAAUACAUUGACAUACUGAAGAGAAAAGAAAUAAUAUAAAAUGUGCUACCAGACCCACUAAGGAAUUAAAUUAGAAUUCAACAAUAGAGAAUUGAAGAAGCCCCAAAUAUUUGGAAAUUUAAUAAUAUACACCUGGGUCAAAGAAGAAGACUCUAUAGGCAUUUAUAAAUAUUUUGAGCAAAAUGAAAUUAAAAUAUUUAUUGUGGAGUGUACAUAAUUCAAAAGCAUGGGCAGGGGAUAUAGCUCAGUUGAUAGAGUGCUUGCCUCCCAUGAACAGACCCUGGGUUUGAUCCCCAGUACCACACACACUCACUCACACACAAAAUUCAGUGAAAACAAUGUUCAGAAAGAAGUCGAUAGCAUUGCAUGCAAUAUUAGAGAAAAUAAGAAGACCUAAAAUCAAGAAUCGAAGCUUCUUCCUAAAGAAACUGGAGAAAAAGUACAUGAUAAUGUUAAGCAGAUAGAAGGAAACAAA
Molecule: long non-coding RNA, 1565 nt
Filed under: Marmota monax (woodchuck)
Lineage: Eukaryota; Metazoa; Chordata; Mammalia; Rodentia; Sciuridae
Source: RNAcentral